UUUCCUUUAAAUUUUUGUACAUCUGAGUCAGUCUGCACUGUUUCUGCUGAGUGUCUUGAGACAACUUCACUGGGAUAAUCUGAGUUGGACCUUCAUGCGAUAAGGUCUGGGAGACAAAGUGAUCCCAUAAAGUGGAGUGAAGUCUGGUUCUCCUGCAUCUUCAGGCCAGAAGAACUUAAACUUCCUCAACAGAGUCACCAUGAUGAGGAAGAGCUCCAUACGAGCCAGACCUUCUCCAAGACACAUCCGAGGA
This is a long non-coding RNA of Acanthochromis polyacanthus (spiny chromis), 253 nucleotides long. RefSeq lists it as uncharacterized. The transcript has 2 exons. The record is from RefSeq and is a predicted model, not a curated record. Lineage: Eukaryota; Metazoa; Chordata; Actinopteri; Pomacentridae.